CUACGGGGGGCAGCAGUGGGGAAUAUUGCAUAAUGGGCGCAAGCCUGAUGCAGCCAUGCCGCGUGUAUGAAGAAGGCCUUCGGGUUGUAAAGUACUUUCAGCGGGGAGGAAGGGAGUAAAGUUAAUACCUUUGCUCAUUGACGUUACCCGCAGAAGAAGCACCGGCUAACUCCGUGCCAGCAGCCGCGGUAAUACGGAGGGUGCAAGCGUUAAUCGGAAUUACUGGGCGUAAAGCGCACGCAGGCGGUUUGUUAAGUCAGAUGUGAAAUCCCGGGGCUCAACCUGGGAACUGCAUCUGAUACUGGCAAGCUUGAGUCUCGUAGAGGGGGGUAGAAUUCCAGGUGUAGCGGUGAAAUGCGUAGAGAUCUGGAGGAAUACCGGUGGCGAAGGCGGCCCCCUGGACGAAGACUGACGCUCAGGUGCGAAAGCGUGGGGAGCAAACAGGAUUAGAUACCCGAGUAGUC
RNAcentral lists this ribosomal RNA (464 nucleotides) under uncultured bacterium. RNAcentral describes it as "partial 16S ribosomal RNA". It matches the Rfam family "Bacterial small subunit ribosomal RNA", at positions 339 to 795 of the family's 1533-position model. The record is from RNAcentral.